This is a non-coding RNA of Pelobates cultripes (western spadefoot toad), 237 nucleotides long. NCBI's taxonomy places the organism in Eukaryota, Metazoa, Chordata, Amphibia, Anura, Pelobatidae. The record is from the annotation of a GenBank genome assembly.
GGCUCCUUCUUCUGGCGUGUUGAUAGCUGACACCUUUCUUCCUCUGGACACCAGUAUUUUCACCGGGUAUCCCCAGCGGUAUGGCAGCUUGUGGAGCCGGAGCUGUUCUGUGACUUCUCUAAAUUCUCUCCUUCGUUUCAACGUGUAUGUUGAUACGUCUGCCCCCCAUAUGGGUCUGGAAGCGUCUUCUUCACUCGGCUUGCCUAGAGCACUAGUUCUUUCACGUGGUAGUAGUGC